This 301-nucleotide ribosomal RNA is filed under the name uncultured bacterium. RNAcentral's name for it is "partial 16S ribosomal RNA". It matches the Rfam family "Bacterial small subunit ribosomal RNA", at positions 509 to 808 of the family's 1533-position model. The record is from RNAcentral.
CAGUCGCCGCGGUAAAACGUAGGUGGCAAGCGUUGUCCGGAAUUAUUGGGCGUAAAGGGCUCGCAGGCGGUUUCUUAAGUCUGAUGUGAAAGCCCCCGGCUCAACCGGGGAGGGUCAUUGGAAACUGGGAAACUUGAGUGCAGAAGAGGAGAGUGGAAUUCCACGUGUAGCGGUGAAAUGCGUAGAGAUGUGGAGGAACACCAGUGGCGAAGGCGACUCUCUGGUCUGUAACUGACGCUGAGGAGCGAAAGCGUGGGGAGUGAAUAGGAUUAGAUACCCCUGUGUCCCUGUCUCUUAUACC